This 406-nucleotide ribosomal RNA is filed under the name uncultured bacterium. RNAcentral's name for it is "bacterial SSU rRNA". It matches the Rfam family "Bacterial small subunit ribosomal RNA", at positions 354 to 776 of the family's 1533-position model. The record is from RNAcentral.
GUGGGGAAUAUUGCGCAAUGGGCGAAAGCCUGACGCAGCAACGCCGCGUGAGGGAUGACGGCUUUCGGGUUGUAAACCUCUUUCAGUGAUGACGAAAAUGACGGUAGUCACAGAAGAAGGUCCGGCCAACUACGUGCCAGCAGCCGCGGUAACACGUAGGGACCAAGCGUUGUCCGGAUUUAUUGGGCGUAAAGAGCUCGUAGGCGGUUUCGUAAGUCGGAUGUGAAAACUCAGGGCUCAACCCUGAGACGCCAUCUGAUACUGCGAUGACUAGAGUCCGGUAGGGGAGCAUGGAAUUCCUGGUGUAGCGGUGGAAUGCGCAGAUAUCAGGAGGAACACCAGUGGCGAAGGCGGUGCUCUGGGCCGGUACUGACGCUGAGGAGCGAAAGCAUGGGGAGCAAACAGG